RNAcentral lists this ribosomal RNA (864 nucleotides) under uncultured Clostridium sp. Its description in RNAcentral is "bacterial SSU rRNA". It matches the Rfam family "Bacterial small subunit ribosomal RNA", at positions 515 to 1397 of the family's 1533-position model. Lineage: Bacteria; Bacillati; Bacillota; Clostridia; Eubacteriales; Clostridiaceae. The record is from RNAcentral.
CCGCGGUAAUACGUAGGGAGCAAGGUUGUCCGGAUUUACUGGGUGUAAAGGGUGCGUAGGCGGGCUGGCAAGUCAGGCGUGAAACCCGGGGCUCAACUCCGGGGCUGCGCUUGAAACUGUCGGUCUUGAGUGAGGUAGAGGCAACGGAAUUCCUAGUGUAGCGGUGAAAUGCGUAGAUAUUAGGAGGAACACCAGUGGCGAAGGGGCUUGCUGGGCCUUAACUGACGCUGAGGCACGAAAGCGUGGGGAGCAAACAGGAUUAGAACCCUGGUAGUCCACGCUGUAAACGAUGAUUGCUAGGUGUGGGGGGUCGACUCCCUCCGUCCGGAGUAAACGCAAUAAGCAAUCCACCUGGGGAGUACGACCGCAAGGUUGAAACUCAAAGAAUUGACGGGGGCCCGCACAAGCAGUGGAGUAUGUGGUUUAAUUCGAAGCAACGCGAAGACCUUACCAGGUCUUGACAUCCAACUAACGAAGUAGAGAUACAUUAGGUGCCCUUCGGGGAAGUUGAGACAGGUGGUGCAUGGUUGUCGUCAGCUCGUGUCGUGAGAUGUUGGGUUAAGUCCGCAACGAGCGCAACCCUUGUCAUUAGUUGCUACGCAAGAGCACUCUAAUGAGACUGCCUUGACAAAACGGAGGAAGGUGGGGACGACGUCAAAUCAUCAUGCCCCUUAUGACCUGGGCACACACGUACUACAAUGGUCGUCAACAGAGGGAAGCAAUACCGCGAGGUGGAGCAAACCCUAAAAACGAUCCCAGUUCAGAUUGUAGGCUGCAACUCGCCUAUAUGAAGUUGGAAUUGCUGUAAUCGCGGAUCAGCAUGCCGCGGUGAAUACGUUCCCGGGCCUUGCACACACCGCCCGU